CCCCUGACGGUAUCUAACCAGAAAGCCACGGCUAACUACGUGCCAGCAGCCGCGGUAAUACGUAGGUGGCAAGCGUUGUCCGGAUUUAUUGGGCGUAAAGCGAGCGCAGGCGGUUUCUUAAGUCUGAUGUGAAAGCCCCCGGCUCAACCGGGGAGGGUCAUUGGAAACUGGGAGACUUGAGUGCAGAAGAGGAGAGUGGAAUUCCA
RNAcentral lists this ribosomal RNA (206 nucleotides) under Enterococcus faecalis. RNAcentral describes it as "partial 16S ribosomal RNA". It matches the Rfam family "Bacterial small subunit ribosomal RNA", at positions 466 to 671 of the family's 1533-position model. Lineage: Bacteria; Bacillati; Bacillota; Bacilli; Lactobacillales; Enterococcaceae. The record is from RNAcentral.